UGGGGAAUCUUGCGCAAUGGGCGAAAGCCUGACGCAGCCACGCCGCGUGAGUGAUGAAGGCCUUCGGGUCGUAAAGCUCUGUUGAGGGGGAAGAAGCUCUGACGGUACCCCUUUAGAAAGCACCGGCUAACCCUGUGCCAGCAGCCGCGGUAAUACAGGGGGUGCAAGCGUUGUUCGGAAUCACUGGGCGUAAAGCGUACGCAGGCGGCUCGCAAGGUCGGGUGUGAAAUCCCGGGGCUCAACCCCGGAACUGCAUUCGAAACCGUCGGGCUUGAGUACGGGAGAGGAGAGCGGAAUUCCUGGUGUAGAGGUGAAAUUCGUAGAUAUCAGGAGGAACACCGGUGGCGAAAGCGGCUCUCUGGCCCGAUACUGACGCUCAUGUACGAGAGCGUGGGGAGCA
This 400-nucleotide ribosomal RNA is filed under the name uncultured bacterium. Its description in RNAcentral is "bacterial SSU rRNA". It matches the Rfam family "Bacterial small subunit ribosomal RNA", at positions 355 to 770 of the family's 1533-position model. The record is from RNAcentral.